Non-coding RNA from Pelobates cultripes (western spadefoot toad), 270 nucleotides. NCBI's taxonomy places the organism in Eukaryota, Metazoa, Chordata, Amphibia, Anura, Pelobatidae. The record is from the annotation of a GenBank genome assembly.
GGCGGGGCUAAAUGAUAUCAGGGCGGGGCUAGAAUGCCGGGUAAUUGCUGCAUGGGAAGCAGGAUGGAGUCCCUGCUUCCCCAACAACCAAAAUCCAGGAGCUACACUACUUCCUCCUAUAUAAUGAAUAGAGGUAACUAUGUGUGACUGUCUGUGUGUGUGUGUGUGUGUGUGACUGUCUUCCUCUGUGUGUGUGUGUGUGUGAGUGACUGUCUUCCUCUGUGUGUGAGUGACUGUCUGCCUGUGUGUGUGUGUGUGUGUGUGUGUGUG